CAGAACGAUGCGCACCUCGAGGGAGAUUCUCUGAAAGUAGUUUUGCUGGCUAUACGGAGAGGGCACAGUUUGAGGAGCAUGUUGCAGGGGUUAUCAUUGCUCUGUGGUUUGCUAUAAAUACUGGACGGUGUUGGUCAAUGCUUGGACCUGUCGAAUUAGGUCGUUGAAUCAUUACAGGUCCUCUAUAAUAGGUGGUGGUAUAGGCCUUUGAGG
This 213-nucleotide long non-coding RNA is filed under the name Elaeis guineensis (African oil palm). RNAcentral's name for it is "long non-coding RNA (EGUI_LNC034543)". Lineage: Eukaryota; Viridiplantae; Streptophyta; Magnoliopsida; Arecales; Arecaceae. The record is from RNAcentral.